AGGAUAUGUUGGAAAAAUCUAAUCUUUUCUUAAAAAGUAUAUGCUAAUUAGCAAGGUAUGCAAAGAAAUAAAGAAUAAUUCAAGAUUAUGAAGAAUUUGAUAAUGAGGUUUUUUGUUGAACCAAAAAAGGGGAGCUUUGGAUGUAGAAGAAACCAGCUUCAGAGCUCAAAACGAAUUGAAAAUGGGGUUAGUUGUUACCAUUAAUGAGAGGUAAUGUGGAUUGUACUAUAUAUGAACGUCAAAAUGUUUGAUCAAUGAAGAAGGAAGCCAAGGUCACAAAGGAAGGGGAAAAAAAGAAACCAUUUUGGCGUUUCGAAUUUACUUCAAAAUGUGAUAUAGUAUCAGAAUAUUAAUGGCAUUGAUGAUUGAGGUCUUGGUUGUUGAACCAGAAAUGGUGAGUUGCGUAUUUUAUACGAUAAAGAUGUUCGAAUUUGAGCUAUGGCUAAAUUGGGAAAAGGGAAAGAAAGUCGGAUCAUUCACUGUUCAUAUUCAUUCUCUCACUGCCUUGGUUUUGCAGUGGAUUUGUCAUUGUAGGCUUGUUUAUCAAUGGCUUCUCUGUUGCCCUCUUUCUCUUCCUUAGUUCUUGUUUAGGCUACAUGAAGGCAUCAAAGAGUGCUUGCUUGUCUCGCCUUAUAAACACUUUCGUUCACCAGGCCUCCAUUUUUCUGAUUGUCUUGUUUAACUUUGCUUUUGUGCACAGUAAUCAGGUCAAAGAAAGAUAGUCUCAAGUAUGAAAUGCCUGAGAAAAAGCACCUUUUCGAUGCGUUGAGGAAGUUACCCGACGAUGAGCAGAUGCAGACGAAUUCUUCAACGAGGAAUAGGAGAUGACUUUCACAAUGUAAGCCUAAAGGAAACUAUCUAGUGAGCUGGAGCUAUGGAUGCUUUGAAUUAGCAAUGCAAUGAACAUAAUCCUCAACAUAUUUCGAACAGGACGCUUCGCUCUCGCCAACAAGUCUGAUUUCUUUUUCUCCAAGGAUAUAAGAUCCCUUAAUGUAUGGUCUAAGGAUUACUGAAGUAGAAGUUCUACAUAUGCCUUUGGGGUUCUGGUUCUUGAGAUUGUAUGUGGAAAGAAGGAUACUUCUUUUAGUUCAAUAUCGAAUUCAGUUCUGGAUACUGUACGAUUCAUGUAGAUUUUUCAUGAAUGAUAUACAUCAGUUUGCUUGGCAGUAUUUGUAUUAUAUGCUAUGUGUUUCCGAGGACAUGAUUUUUAUUGUUCUUGUAACAGGUAAGGAUGCUAUUGA
Molecule: long non-coding RNA, 1241 nt
Organism: Benincasa hispida (wax gourd)
Lineage: Eukaryota; Viridiplantae; Streptophyta; Magnoliopsida; Cucurbitales; Cucurbitaceae
Source: RefSeq, a predicted model, not a curated record